RNAcentral lists this ribosomal RNA (559 nucleotides) under uncultured bacterium. Its description in RNAcentral is "bacterial SSU rRNA". It matches the Rfam family "Bacterial small subunit ribosomal RNA", at positions 338 to 916 of the family's 1533-position model. The record is from RNAcentral.
CCUACGGGAGGCAGCAGUGAGGAAUUUUCCGCAAUGGGCGAAAGCCUGACGGAGCAAUACCGCGUGAGGGAUGAAGGAUUUUGGUCUGUAAACCUCUUUUCUCAAGAAAGAAGUUCUGACGGUACUUGAGGAAUAAGCAUCGGCUAACUCCGUGCCAGCAGCCGCGGUAAUACGGGGGAUGCAAGCGUUAUCCGGAAUGAUUGGGCGUAAAGCGCCUGUAGGUUGUUUAUUAAGUCCGUUGUUAAAGCCUAGGGCUCAACCCUAGAAAAGCAAUGGAAACUAGUAGACUAGAGUAUGGCAGGGGUAGAGGGAAUUUCUAGUGUAGCGGUGAAAUGCGUAGAUAUUAGAAAGAACACCGGUGGCGAAAGCGCUCUACUGGACCAUUACUGACACUCAGAGGCGAAAGCUAGGGUAGCAAAAGGGAUUAGAUACCCCUGUAGUCCUAGCCGUAAACGAUGGAUACUAGAUGUUGUGCAUUAUGUACAGUAUCGUAGCUAACGCGUUAAGUAUCCCGCCUGGGGAGUACGCUCGCAAGGGUGGAACUCAAAGGAAUUGACGG